RNAcentral lists this ribosomal RNA (465 nucleotides) under uncultured bacterium. RNAcentral's name for it is "partial 16S ribosomal RNA". It matches the Rfam family "Bacterial small subunit ribosomal RNA", at positions 28 to 507 of the family's 1533-position model. The record is from RNAcentral.
GACGAACGCUGGCGGCGUGCUUAACACAUGCAAGUCGAACGGAAAGGCCCUGCUUGCAGGGUCCUCGAGUGGCGAACGGGCGAGUAACACGGGGGUGAUCUGCCCUCCACCUCGGGAUAAGCCUGGGAAACUGGGUCUAGUACCGGAUAGGAGCAAUUUACAGUGUGAUGGUUGGAAAGUUGUGUCGGUGUAGGACUAGCUCGCGGCCUAUCAGCGUGUUGGUGGGGUGAUGGCCGGCCAAGGCGGCGAGGGGUAGCCGGCCGGUGAGGGUGGACGGCCACAUUGGGACUUAGAUACGGCACAGACUCCUACGGUAGGCAGCAGUGGGGAAUAUUGAACAAUGGGCGCAAGCCUGAUGCAGCGACGCCGCGUGGCGGAUGGCGGCCUUCGGGUUGUAGACUCCUUUCGCUAGGGACGAAGCUUUUUGUGACGGUACCUAGAUAAGAAGCACCGGCUAACUACGUG